This is a long non-coding RNA of Oncorhynchus tshawytscha (Chinook salmon), 1938 nucleotides long. NCBI's taxonomy places the organism in Eukaryota, Metazoa, Chordata, Actinopteri, Salmoniformes, Salmonidae. The record is from Ensembl.
UACAGAACCGUUGUCUGUGUUGUCUGUUGUGUUGUUCUCCACUACCUGCAGAACCGUCUGUGUUGUCUGUUGUGUUGUUCUCCACUACCUACAGAACCGUUGUCUGUGUUGUCUGUUGUGUUGUUCUCCACUACCUGCAGAACCGUCUGUGUUGUCUGUUGUGUUGUUCUCCACUACCUACAGAACCGUUGUCUGUGUUGUCUGUUGUGUUGUUCUCCACUACCUGCAGAACCGUUGUCUGUUGUCUGUUGUGUUGUUCUCCUGAAGUCCCUGAAACACAUGUCCAUACAUGUUCUAUACAUGUGCUUUUGUUGCUAAACUCAAUUCAUGUGUAAUAACUGGAUACUAAACUAAAGUCAUGUGUUAUAACUGGAUACUAAACUAAAGUCAUGUGUAAUAACUGGAUACUAAACUAAAGUCAUGUGUUAUAACUGGAUACUAAACUCAAGUCAUGUGUUAUAACUGGAUACUAAACUCAAGUCAUGUGUUAUAACUGGAUACUAAACUAAAGUCAUGUGUUAUAACUGGAUACUAAACUAAAGUCAUGUGUUAUAACUGGAUACUAAACUAAAGUCAUGUGUUAUAACUGGAUACUAAACUCAAUUCAUGUGUUAUAACUGGAUACUAAACUAAAGUCAUGUGUUAUAACUGGAUACUAAACUAAAGUCAUGUGUUAUAACUGGAUACUAAACUAAAGUCAUGUGUUAUAACUGGAUACUAAACUAAAGUCAUGUGUUAUAACUGGAUACUAAACUAAAGUCAUGUGUUAUAACUGGAUACUAAACUAAAGUCAUGUGUUAUAACUGGAUACUAAACUAAAGUCAUGUGUUAUAACUGGACACUAAACUAAAGUCAUGUGUUAUAACUGCACACUAAACUAAAGUCAUGUGUUAUAACUGGACACUAAACUAAAGUCAUGUGUUAUAACUGGAUACUAAACUAAAGUCAUGUGUUAUAACUGGAUACUAAACUAAAGUCAUGUGUUAUAACUGGAUACUAAACUAAAGUCAUGUGUUAUAACUGGAUACUAAACUAAAGUCAUGUGUUAUAACUGGAUACUAAACUAAAGUCAUGUGUUAUAACUGGAUACUAAACUAAAGUCAUGUGUUAUAACUGGAUACUAAACUAAAGUCAUGUGUUAUAACUGGAUACUAAACUAAAGUCAUGUGUUAUAACUGGAUACAAACUAAAGUCAUGUGUUAUAACUGGAUACUAAACUAAAGUCAUGUGUUAUAACUGGAUACUAAACUAAAGGCAUGUGUUAUAACUGGAUACUAAACUAAAGUCAUGUGUUAUAACUGGAUACUAAACUAAAGUCAUGUGUUAUAACUGGAUACUAAACUAAAGUCAUGUGUUAUAACUGGAUACUAAACUAAAGUCAUGUGUUAUAACUGGAUACUAAACUAAAGUCAUGUGUUAUAACUGGAUACUAAACUAAAGUCAUGUGUUAUAACUGGAUACUAAACUAAAGUCAUGUGUUAUAACUGGAUACUAAACUAAAGGCAUGUGUUAUAACUGGAUACUAAAUUAUUUUUACAUUUUAGUAGAUACUCUUAUCCAGAGCAAAUAGGAUUCAGUGUUUUGCUCAAGGAACAAACACAUCAAUAAGAUGUAUCUGGGCAGGUUUCUUUACUGAUCUUCCUGCCAUGGCCUCCCGUAUCAUCUCUGGUGAGGGAAAUACAUUUAUACCACAUUCCACUGGUCUCUACUGAAAUCCUACGACAUGCUGUUUGCAUAUAUAGUUUCUAUUAAACUGUUUGCUCAAAAUGUGUUUGUGUUAAUUAACAUGUUAUGGCUGAAAAUGUCAAUUAAACAGGUUCCUAAAUCAGCUGUGUCUGAAAUUAUUUCAUUCCACAUUUACAUUUACAUUUACACAUUCACAUUCACACAACCUUCAAGGAGUUUCUGCAGUCAAGUCUGUAUCACCCUCUUCAUCUG